RNAcentral lists this long non-coding RNA (1494 nucleotides) under Salmo salar (Atlantic salmon). RNAcentral's name for it is "lncRNA (ENSSSAG00000090151.1)". Lineage: Eukaryota; Metazoa; Chordata; Actinopteri; Salmoniformes; Salmonidae. The record is from RNAcentral.
AACGAACUAUAUUUUUCCGCCAUACAGUUGUACUUUAACUUACACCCCAUAAAUUGAUAUGAUGCACUUGAGUCUUAAGCCUUUUGCUAUAUUUUUUUCGGUAUUGAUUUCCAUUGCUGAUUGUCAGCUUCAAAGGUGAACUCUGUGAAACUCUGUGGCCAUUGCCUGGCUGUUUUCGAAGUUAUUUGCAGCCAUUUUCCUUGUUUCCAUACACAUCUUAAGGUACAAAUAUUUCAGAUAACUAGGCAAAGUAGCCAGGGGAAGGAAGGGGUAUUUAUUGGCGAGUGAUGUUAUCUUGAUGCAGAUGUCUUGUCCAAUAUGAAUUCCUUGUUUUUGUCCCAGAAAAGAAAAAAAGAAAGACAGAUCGGUCUUCAUUUUGAGUCUGUGCCCUUCAGUUGAUGGUUAUUAUUGUGUUUUUGUCGUGUUACUAUGGAUGUGAAACAAUUGAGAGCUCAUCUUUCUUGAUUGGUGCUUAAGGGGAUAAAAACGCACAGUGUUACGUGGUAUACAGUAUUCAAACCCCCGUUAUAUCCAUGAAAGUGUUGGACCAUUUUUUUUUUUUUUAUGACUUCAACUAUUUUGCAAUGGGCAUGAGCGACCCUUUGAUGGACACGUUGGCGUAAACUCUUAAGACUUAGCUUCUCCUCUCUCCUCACUCAACCAACCUCCACAGCACUGGCAGCAGUCUUCACCCCUCUCCUCUCUCUGAAGAGAGAGAGAAAGAGCUGAUCUGAGUGAAAGGGGAUGCGGAGGUGGAGGGCUGACUUGAGAGGAAGAAGGGAUGACAGUGAGUAUCAUUAAAAAUGUGCUGUUCCACCGUUACCUGGAGGCCUUCUGACGCUGAUCUGUCUAAUAUCUCACUUGUCACUUCAUUACACCGCCAGACGUGAAUGUUGCUGACAGGACUAGGGGGGAGAGAGAGAGAGGGAAUAGAGAGAGCGAGCUCAUCCACGGUCCAUCACUAUGUAAUAUGCAGUCGGUCCAGUGUUAGCAUUCCAGCCUUGUCACUGCAGGGUACGCUAGCGUUUCAUUAGGGAGAACAGUGGAAUGUAGCAUUGAGUUGGACCGCAAGGACUGCCAUGGAAUGCACUGAGAGCAGUUGAGAAAGAAGGUAGAAAGGGAUACCUAGACAAUUGUCCAACUGAAUGCAUUCAACUGAAAUGUGUCUUCUGCAUUUAACCCAACACCUCAAUCAGAGAGGAGCGGAAGCCAGGGAGCUCAAUCAGUGACCUGUGUAUGUUAGUGUGUGUGUUAGUGUGCCAGAGAGAGAUUAAAUUCCCUUACACUGACUCCUCAUCUCUAGCCCCUCUGUCUCUCACUCGAUGGCCAUGCCAGCACGCCACGGCUCCUAGAGAGAGCUCGCAAAUGAGCUGAGAAAACUGCCCUGACAUGCAAAAGACCGUCCAGAACAGAAUGUCCAGACUAGAGGAUAGGGAGAGAGAAAGGAGAGCAGAGGGACCGGUCUGAGAACGAAAGCGGUCUGGCCGGGACCUG